Molecule: ribosomal RNA, 615 nt
Filed under: Australothrix lineae
Lineage: Eukaryota; Ciliophora; Spirotrichea; Urostylida; Hemicycliostylidae
Description: partial 28S ribosomal RNA
Rfam family: Eukaryotic large subunit ribosomal RNA
Source: RNAcentral
UUGUAUCUGAAAUCAAGCAGGAUAACCCGCUGAACUUAAGCAUAUCACUAAGCGGAGGAAAAGAAAUUAACUAAGAUUGCCUCAGUAACGGCGAGUGAAGCGGCAAAAGCCCAAACUGGAAAUCUUCACACUGCGUGUGACGAAUUGUAAUCUACAGGUGAGACACUCAACGAGUGGUGACGCAGAAGUGACCUAGAAUGGUCUGCCAGAGAGGGUGACAGCCCCGUAUGUGGUGUCACUGCUCAACGAGUGCUUGCCGAAGAGUCGGGUUGUUUUGAAUUGCAGCCCUAAGUGGGGGAUAGACUUCCUCUAAGGCUAAAUACAUAUGGGAAACCGAUAGCGAACAAGUACUGUGAAGGAAAGAUGMAAAGAACUUUGAAAAGAGAGUCAAAAGACUUGAAAUCGUUGAGAAGGAAGCGGUAGAAAUUUAUUCUUCUGCGGAGGACAAAGGUCGUCGCCUAACCAUUGGAGCUUGUCAGCACUUAAUAAGGCUGCUGGAACCACCUGGGGAAGCGAUUGCUGGGUCCUUCGUAGUGAGGCAAAAUGAGGUUCAACUUCCGCAAAAACUUGGUAUAUCUGGGCUGGUUCGCCAGUCAAUCUACCUUUGUUGGUGGG